RNAcentral lists this unclassified non-coding RNA (220 nucleotides) under uncultured Acidimicrobiia bacterium. RNAcentral describes it as "contains 16S-23S intergenic spacer region". It matches the Rfam family "Bacterial small subunit ribosomal RNA", at positions 976 to 1199 of the family's 1533-position model. Lineage: Bacteria; Bacillati; Actinomycetota; Acidimicrobiia. The record is from RNAcentral.
UGGGUUUGACAUCAUGGGAAAAGCCGUAGAGAUACGGUGUCCGAAAGGGCCCAUGACAGGUGGUGCAUGGCUGUCGUCAGCUCGUGUCGUGAGAUGUUGGGUUAAGUCCCGCAACGAGCGCAACCCUUGUCUUAUGUUACCAGCGGGUUAUGCCGGGGACUCAUAAGAGACUGCCGGGGACAACUCGGAGGAAGGUGGGGAUGACGUAUAGGAGCUCGAC